GAUUAAGCCAUGCAUGUCUAAGUGUAAAUUGUUAAGUUUGGAACUGCGAAUGGCUCAUUAUAUCAGUUAUAGUUUAUUUGGUGAAGUGUACUACUUGGAUAACCGUAGUAAUUCUAGGGCUAAUACAUGAGAAGGUCCUCUGGUGAGGUGUGUUUAUUAGAAUGAAAACCAUAUGCUUCGGCAUGAUAGUGAGUAAUAGUAACCUAUCGUAUCGCAUGCUUAUGGUAGCGAUGAGUCUUUCAGGUUUCUGCCCUAUCAGCUUUCGAUGGAAUUAUAUGGGCCUACAGGGGCAGUACCGGGAAACAAAAAAUUGGGGUUCGAUUUCGGAGAGGGAGCCUGAGACACGGCUACCACAUCCAAGGAAGGCAGCAGGCGCGUAAUUACCCAUCCUGACCAGGGAGGUAGUGACAUAA
RNAcentral lists this ribosomal RNA (413 nucleotides) under Blastocystis sp. RNAcentral describes it as "SSU rRNA". It matches the Rfam family "Eukaryotic small subunit ribosomal RNA", at positions 42 to 472 of the family's 1831-position model. The record is from RNAcentral. Lineage: Eukaryota; Bigyra; Opalinata; Blastocystidae.